AGAUUAGCCGAUGGGAUUACCAAGGGAAGCUCAGAUUCGCGGGAAAGCUCGCGACAACCUUGAGCGAGCGCAUUCCUCCCCUUGGAUGGGGUUAUUCGGAGGAACGACAAAGCUCUCGGAGUUGCGCAAAUACGGGUGUUCGUCAAAGGAUACUUUCGAGCGACCGCAGCUGUUGGAUCGAGCUUCCGUGUGGCGAAAACGUUGGUCGAGUCGAAGUUGCGGCUACAGAUUUCCUACUUCCUCCUUUUUCCACGCUCGCAUUACGUGACCUCUUUCAUAGAUCCGAAUGGGUUCUAGACCGUUCGGAAAUAAUACUCCGUGAGUAGGUUAUUUAUAACCGCGACAACGGACCGGACGUCUGAUCUACCAGCUCCUAGCCGCGUUGCGUCAGCCGUCUUCUCAAAGUAUAUUUUUUCGCCCGUGGAAACUGCUCGGCCGACCUUCGCGUAUGCAGAAAUCGCGCCAGGGUGCUUUCUCGGAUCUCGAAUAAAAGAAGAAUGCCAACGAAGAUGGAAGAAGGCGAACGGUGGGGCGCGAUAACGGCGGGAAACUCGAUCGAGCGAAAUCAACGGACGAAAAAAGAAUAACACGGCUGCCGAAGCGUAAAUUGAUCAUAGUGAUCUAUAAGCGGUAUACGAAACAGAGCAGCCUCGUUUGGAAUAUAGGACAAGCGAAGAAAUCUGCGCAAAAGUGGAAGAAAAGAAGAGGCAACAAAAAAAAAGAAAGGAAAAGCGCGAGCUCACGGAAGGGUGAAAUAGUCAACCGCGUUCGGCAUACAAAUCGCUGGGCGUAUCCGCAUGCUGUGGCCGCCACCAGUCUCGCAGCAGUGAUAUUCAAUCUACGAUUCUUUAAGCCGGCUCAUCCCUUAUUCCGACUAGAAAAGAAGCGUGUGUAGGAAGGGCAACUGAUAGAGAGAAGCCGGAGUCGCGGGAGAAGGGGUGGCGGCUUAACCGGCAGGGAAAACACAUGUUAUCGACAGGCUGUCUUUUUUUUGUUGGCUCGUUCGUGGCGGAGGUUGAAAUCGAGGUUAAAAAGAAAACGAGAGGAGGUAAAAAAAGGGGGAGUUUGGAGGGGGAUCCUAACUCCAACUUUUUACCGAGUUUUUAACGAGAUACCGAAGCGUUUUCCACGGGAUAGUAGAAAAGGGUAGACGAGUCGAGUGGAGAGAGACCCGGAGAAUCGUGUUUCUCGGAACGCUGCGUCGCAGUUUAGGCUGCUUUUUUCCCCUACUUUCGCGCAGGCUUUCUGAUAACAAGGAGCGAGGUUC
This 1267-nucleotide unclassified non-coding RNA is filed under the name Bombus terrestris (buff-tailed bumblebee). RNAcentral's name for it is "misc RNA ENSBTSG00005025579.1". The record is from RNAcentral. Lineage: Eukaryota; Metazoa; Arthropoda; Insecta; Hymenoptera; Apidae.